Canis lupus familiaris (dog) is the source of this 6318-nucleotide RNA transcript. It is a transcript of the gene named C2 calcium dependent domain containing 6, with no coding region annotated. The transcript is spliced from 23 exons. The record is from RefSeq and is a predicted model, not a curated record. NCBI's taxonomy places the organism in Eukaryota, Metazoa, Chordata, Mammalia, Carnivora, Canidae.
GACCGGCCGGCGGAGGAUGGAGGGAUGGAGCCUCCCCGAGCGCCGGCCGGCGGUUCCCACGCCCCCGACGACCGCGGAGGGCGGGGCCGUCCCCAGUCCACAGCCCCCGCACUUCAGAGGAAUCCCUACGGCAUCCCCGACGUCCUGCACAGCAGAGGGCCGCAGGGGUAGCGGGGCCACGCACCGGGCCAAGGAGGAGGGCGCCGGGCACCGGCUGCUGAACAUGCUGAGAAGAACUCUGAAAGGGACUGAAAGUAAAGAACUGGAAAUAACACCUGAAGUGCCAACUUUGGUACCAUUUGGGGGUGUGGUUGGCUGCCUUGCUAUUCAUGUAAAGAACUGCAGACAUUUCACGCCUAAGAUUGCUUUACAACAUUACAGUAAUUUGUUCAUUCGCAUCUCUAUUAACAACAUUGUGAAAUGUACAAAAAUGUGUAGCCUGCCAUCCCAAAACAAUGAAAAGAACGCUGUAAUUAAUUUUGAUGACGUAAAGUAUUUUUCUGUACAGGUUCCCAGGCGUCAAGAUGAUGUGCGGAAUAAUAUUUUCUUGGAACUAAUGCAAUAUGACAAAAUAGAAAAAUACCCUCUCUUGUUAGGGAGUAUUCAGGUACACCUUUAUGAAGUAAUUCAGAAAGGGCGUUUUAUUGAAGAAUUUCACAUGUUGCAUAAAAACACAUUUAUCUGUAAGGUGGAGGUGGAAUUUAUGUUCUCCUAUGGAAACUUUGGUUAUGGAUUUUCACAUCAGUUAAAACCUCUUCAGAAAAUUAUUGAGCCAUCCAUGUUUAUGAAUAUUGCACCACCUCCAGAGAGAAUAGAUCCUGUGAUAAAUGUUAUUACACCACAACCAAUAGAAUAUCCAGCAUUCCUAUCCCCAGACCUGAAUGUUACCAUUGGGAUGCCACCUGCAGUGUCCCAAUCCAACCAGCCACCUGUAGUGCGACUUGAGAAACUUCAGCAACAACCUCGGGAAAGGCUGGAAAAAAUGAAAAAAGAAUACAGAAAUCUGAAUACAUGGAUGGAAAAAGCUAGCUAUUUAGAAGGGCUUCUUACCCCAAAAUUUGCCCAUAAAGAACGUAAGGGAAGUGAUACCAGUGAGUUACUUGCAAGCCUAUUUGAAAAGAAGCCUGAAAAUGGUGUAACAUCAGAUGAGAAAGCUGAAAUCAGACAGAUUAACCACUCAGAAGUCACACAGCCAUUAACUGAUGUACCUUUUAUAAAAGAGGAAGCUGAAACUGUUCCAAGUGAGUUGCCAGAUAAUGAUGAUAAGAAAGACUUGAUUCUCCCACCUUUGAACGAGUCAAAUCAAGAUAAUUCAGAUGCUGUUGCUAUUGCUCCUGAAAGUGAUGAAUCAACAAAGCAAACAGAUGAGUCAACAAAGCAAACAGAUGAGUCAACAAAGCAAACUCCAUUGCCUGUUGUUCCAGUCCUGACAAUAACGGAGGAGAACAAAACAUUACCUUUAGAGGAAUACCAAUCAAAAGCUCCACCAGAGGGAAAAAUGAAAAAUAUGUUCCCUCCACCAGAAGUAAAAUUGAAAGAUAGAUAUCCAAGCCUUUUAAAAACAGACUCAUCUCCAUCAGAGAGUACCUUUUGUUCCAUUAGCCCCAAGAAUGGAAAUGGAAAUUGUCCUAAUACUGUAGAUAGGGUAAUGCAAAGUCAGUUUUGUGGACAAAAAAAUACAAAUAAAAAAGGAAAAUCAGUGAUUUUUUCACCAGUGGAAUACACUUUACCAUCUUUCAGACCAGAAUUUAUAGAAUUCAAACCAAAGUAUCUGUUCCAGGAAUUCAACUCUAAGAAUGGUUUUGAUCCUUUUCUAAGGAAUAUAAACCACAAAAUGUCAGUCGGAAAAAGGAAAGAGCAAGAUAUGUACAAAUGUAGAAAUAUUUUAAGUGCAGAGGUUAUAGAGCAUGAAGACCAAGAUCCUCCUUACCCAACAUAUUCAAAAACUGCAAGACCUACUAAUAAAACCUGGCCUCAUGAUCCUGGCAUCACCACAGCAAAGACUUUAGACACAAAGACUAAGCUAAAGUUAGCCCAUGAUCCCGAUUUCAUCACAAUAAAGACUUUAGACACUAAGAAAAAGUUAAAAGAAAGACUACCAAAUGUAUCUCUACCUAAUUUUGAAGGAGAAUCAUCAAUGACUGGAAAUGUAAAUACACGUCGCUUCUCAAAAUCAUUAAAUCUUACUUCUCACCUAGAAAGUUUAAAACAAUCAAUUAUGCUCAAGUCAAUUUUAAGUAAAAAUCUGCAAGACCUUUCAGAUAAAUUAUUUUCUAAACCAGAGUCUUCUGUGGACACUGAAGCAAGAAAGGAAAGUCGUAGUUCUCCACUUCCGAGUGUUUAUGAUGAGCCACCAAGUAGUUUGGAAAACAAAGUAUUUGAAAAAGUUAAAGAUUUAAAUAGCUGGGUUUCAGAAAAAGAUAUUUUAAGUUCAAAGUCUCUUUUAAGACAAAUAAUUAAAGAUAUUCCUGCAGAUUCACUUUCAGAAGGUGGACCAAGAAAUUCUCCAGUGGUAGAAAGGGCAGUUGUCUCUGAAAAACACUUGGAAGCUGGUGAGAUUGAUUUUCCAAUAAAAAAUGAUUUCAAAAAGAAUCAUUCAAAAAUUGAACUGUCUAGCUCUAAACCAGAUGUAAGUGACAGUGCACAUAAUUAUGUUAUAAAGCAAAUAUUCACUGCACCUGUCUUCUCAGAGUUGGAAGUGGGAGUGAAAGAAUUAAGUGAGACAUCAGUAAAUUUGCAGAAUCAAUUACCCACAGCUUGGGAGAGUAUAUCUUCAAAUAUUCUACUUCAAUAUGAAGAAAACAAUGAUGAAAUAGAAUUGCCACAGGCCAAAUCUGUUAUAAGCCAGAUAAUACAAGCAUUUCCUAUAGAUAGACUUUUGGAAUCUGGGAUAAUCAAAGUGAUAGAAUUAGAUAAAGAAUAUCAGAAGAGAUCUGUGAUGGCUUCAGAGACCGUCUUUGCUGGAGAAGAGCCAAAGUAUUCCACAGAGGAUUAUUUGGAAACCCAAAGCAGUACAGAACCUCUUUCAGAGCAGAAUACACUCAUCAUUCCCAAAGAAACCACUUCUUUGAAUAGAGUUGAAUAUGUGGAUGAAGGUCAAAAUUUAUCCCUACAACAUUCAAAAUAUCCGUCAGCACCAGAUAAAAAAACAGAUAUGCCAAAUAAUAGUCAGAGGUUUGAUAGAGAAGAAAAUGAUCUAAAUUCUACUUUAGAAAAUUUAACUAACUCAUUAAUGGGUAAACUUAAUGAUUCAGAUGUAAUAAUGUUAAAAUCCUUCUUAAAACAUGUGUUUAAUAUUUUUUUCAAAUAUAAUCAGUUUGAUAGAAGACAACCAGAAAAAGAAUUAGAAAGACUAAUUCAGCAUCCUGUUCCAAAUAAUACAGAAGACCUUGAAGAAAUCAAAGAGAAUUUUGAUAAAGCAGAUAAAUUAGACAGAAAACCUAUUUUGAGUCCAAAACUGCGUAUAUUUCUAGAAGAACUCUCAGAGUCAGAAAUAAAAAAUUUAAAAUCUGAACUAAGUAAACAUAUCCAACAUUACCUUGUAGAAAGACUUUCAGAAUCUGGACACAUCACCAAAGAAGACUUACCAAAAAUCUAUCAAAAUCUGUAUUUGAUGAAUGAGAAAGUGGAGCCAAAAGGGCAAAAUAUUUUUCUGGAAAAAUAUUCAGAAACUGUAAAAGAAAUCAUGUCUUUUGUAAAUAAUUUUAAUCAUCAUUUCAUAGAUAAACAUUUGGAAAUAAAGCUAAGAUCUUUUUUAAAUGAAAUUCUCCAAAACUAUUUCCUAAAAAACCUUUCUGAAAGCAGUUUAUUUAAAGAGACAGAAUCUGAGACUGUCCACUCAAACAUGUCUUCUCUAAGAACUAAAAGUGCCUCCAUAUCUUUUCAUGAGUUAAGACAAGACAUUUCAAGGGGGAGUUUUGGGAAAAGACUUGACUUAAAGAUGAAAUAUCCUUUAAAUAAAUCUCUACAAAACUAUCUUAUAACUUUAACAGAAAAUGAACUUUUAAAUCUAAAAGCCAAUUUAAGCAAACACCUCCAGAGCCUUUUUAUAGAAAAACUUUCAAAGUCAGGACUACUCACAGAAAGACAAUUAGAGGGGAUCAACCAACAUAUAAAUUUGAUCAAUUCUAGUACUAUACCAUUAAAAUGUAUAAAGCCAGAUUUAUCUUUUAGAAAUGAAAAUCAACUUAUGGAAGAGAAUUCAGAAAAGCAAAAUAAAUAUUCAAAAAUUAUUCAAAAAACAACUUUACAAAAAGUUCCUAAAGAUAGACUUACUGAAACGGAACUGACCAAAAAGGAAGAAAGGGAAUAUUUUUCCUUCCAGCAUAUUAAGGAAAAUCCAUCAAUAAUUGAGGAACAGAAAAGAUACUAUCCUGAAGAAGGAGCCCAAACCCUGAGAUUAAUUAAACUACAACCUUCUUUCAUCAAAAAUACCCAAGUGAUUCCCUUAAAUAAGUCAUCAGAAAGACUUACAGAUAUAGUGCUUAAGAAACACAGGAAAGAAUAUGGUUUUAUCCAGCUUCCUCGAGCAGAAAAUUAUGAUUUUAAAACGGAUAUUCAAGACCCACAUAGUUGGAGUGGCAAAUCAAAAACAAGUCAGUCAAAUGUUUGCUUUGAAAGGACACUAAAAACAAAGCCCCUUGAAAAAAAAGAGCAUAAUAUGUGUAAGUUGAUAGCACAGGAAAAACCUGAAGCUGUACUGUCACUUUAUCCAAGAAUUCCUAAUUGCAAAAUGCCAAGUGAAAAUGAAGACUAUGUAUACAAAUACACUUUUCCUUCCAGGCAGAGUAGCACUUUAACUCAUUUCAAUUUAGAGGCUGGGGAGAAAUCAAAGUUAGAAGACCAGUAUAUUCGGAGAUUGAAAGGAAAUAAUAAUAAUAAUAAAAAACAACAUUUAGUAACAUUUGCACAAUACAAAAAAAUACAUACUCUUUCUGUAAGAGAAGAUGGAAUUUGUGAUGAAAAAUAUGCCAAGUUCCCUGAAUCACAGUCUUUAAAAUACAAAAUUGUGGAAGCUCAGAAAAACUCAAAACCAUCCCUCUUCCCAGAAGUAUUAAAGACAGAAAAUCUAAAGCCCAAGGUCCGAAAAGAAAGAGACCGUGUCAACAAACAAAAGAAGUCAUUUAGCAAGAUACUACCAACCACACUGCCCACCACAAGAAUUCUAAGGAAAUCUGUUCCAAGAACAUUGCUUCACUGGACUGCAAGAAGAACUAUACAUGAUUGUUCGGAUAGAUUUGAGGAUAUACCUGUGACCCCAUUUAAGCAUGCUGAACAAGCAAAAUCAAGAACAAAGCUUUUAGGAAAAAGCUCAGAUGAUAGCCAUAAUCAGUUAAAACACUUCACAAGACCGAAUACUGCUCCAGAGGUUAACAAACGGCGAGAGAGCUACAAUGGAAAAUGUACAAGUCCUCGAAUGGUUUCAGCAGGCUUAGUUUUCAGGUAUACAAUAUAGUGAUUCAACAAUUCUAUACAUUACUAAGUGUCCAUCAAGGUAGACUGGUUUCAUCAGUGAUGGAACUAAGAUUAAGAAACCAAAAGGGAGUGUGAGGCAAUCCAAAGAUUAGCAAGAGCAGGAAGUGAUACCAGCCCUCAGAUGGAAGGGGUAGCAAGAGGUGGUGUUACCGGAGUGCCAAAAACAGAAGACAAAGAUGAUGCAGCUGCUGCCAGAGACCCCACCAGAAACAAGGAAGUGGGACAAAAGGUCUUCAUGGCUUGAUGGAGUAACCUAAACAUUCUUGAGGGGAACUGACCAAUAAAUAUGAAAAGGAUCUUGUUGCAAACAGAGCUGUACCAAGCUAAGGAAGGCAGGAGAGAAAGUUUUUGAGGACGGAGUUUGCAACCUGUCACUAUUUCCUGUGCGAGUUCCACUGGAGACAAGUACACUUUCUCCAAUCCCAGAGUCUACACCUGAUCGGGAAUUCUUCAUUCUGGAUUCUGACUGAGGGAAGAUACUAACAUCCAAUGGGCUAUAAGGAGGACCUUUCAGUUUCUGCAACAACAUCUAAAAGAAAGAAAAAUUUCCUUCAACCCAUUUCAGAGAAAGCAUUAAAAACAAAGAUUCUAAGAACAAAGAUGUCUAAAGGAAAUUAUCUAGAAUAUAAGGGAUCUUAUGAAAGAAAAGUAGUUUGGGGAUUUUACUAGGAUUUACCUGAGUCCUGUGCAUGUCCUGGAAAGGUACCUGCCCACUGGCCAAUUCACACGCUGUAAUCCCAACACUGUAAAUAUCUGACUUUACAUUAUAUCCAUGUAAAUCCUGUAGAACAAUUAAUUUGAAUUUCUUUAGUGAAAAUAACAAUAAAAAGUUAUAUACAUGUG